Molecule: ribosomal RNA, 493 nt
Filed under: uncultured bacterium
Lineage: Bacteria
Description: bacterial SSU rRNA
Rfam family: Bacterial small subunit ribosomal RNA
Source: RNAcentral
GUUGUAAACUGCUUUUAUACAGGAAGAAACGACUCUUGCGAGAGGCAUUGACGGUACUGUAUGAAUAAGCACCGGCUAACUCCGUGCCAGCAGCCGCGGUAAUACGGAGGGUGCAAGCGUUGUCCGGAUUUAUUGGGUUUAAAGGGUGCGCAGGUGGUUUAUUAAGUCAGUGGUGAAAGACGGUCGCUCAACGAUUGCAGUGCCAUUGAAACUGAUAGACUUGAGUAAAGUAGAGGUGGGCGGAAUUGAUAGUGUAGCGGUGAAAUGCAUAGAUAUUAUCAAGAACUCCAAUUGCGAAGGCAGCUCACUUGGCUUUUACUGACACUCAUGCACGAAAGUGUGGGUAUCAAACAGGAUUAGAUACCCUGGUAGUCCACACUGUAAACGAUGAUAACUAGGUGUCGGCCGAAUCUGGUCGGUGCCACAGCGAAAGCGUUAAGUUAUCCACCUGGGGAGUACGCCGGCAACGGUGAAACUCAAAUGAAUUGACGGG